CGGGUGAGUAACACGUGGAUAACCUACCUAUAAGACUGGGAUAACUUCGGGAAACCGGAGCUAAUACCGGAUAAUAUUUUGAACCGCAUGGUUCAAAAGUGAAAGACGGUCUUGCUGUCACUUAUAGAUGGAUCCGCGCUGCAUUAGCUAGUUGGUAAGGUAACGGCUUACCAAGGCAACGAUGCAUAGCCGACCUGAGAGGGUGAUCGGCCACACUGAACUGAGACACGGUCCAGACUCCUACGGGAGGCAGCAGCC
This 258-nucleotide ribosomal RNA is filed under the name uncultured Staphylococcus sp. RNAcentral describes it as "partial 16S ribosomal RNA". It matches the Rfam family "Bacterial small subunit ribosomal RNA", at positions 103 to 355 of the family's 1533-position model. Lineage: Bacteria; Bacillati; Bacillota; Bacilli; Caryophanales; Staphylococcaceae. The record is from RNAcentral.